This 83-nucleotide non-coding RNA is filed under the name human gut metagenome. RNAcentral's name for it is "Cyclic di-GMP-I riboswitch". It matches the Rfam family "c-di-GMP-I riboswitch aptamer". From Rfam's summary of the family: GEMM was predicted in a large-scale screen for bacterial structured RNA regulatory elements. Genes associated with GEMM are involved in a diverse array of functions, including chemotaxis regulation, signal transduction, secretion and chitin. The record is from RNAcentral.
UUUAAUAGGCAAACCUAGGGAAAUCUAGGGACGCAAAGCUAUAGGGGUUAAGGUUUAUUUAAACUAUGCCAGCCAGUUGCCAA